This is a non-coding RNA of Onchocerca ochengi, 162 nucleotides long. Lineage: Eukaryota; Metazoa; Nematoda; Chromadorea; Rhabditida; Onchocercidae. The record is from Rfam.
AAACUUACCUGGCUGGGAGGGUCUCGUGAUCAACAAGACGGGACCUCCAUGGUGAGGCUGAACCAUUGCACUUUAGGUUUGGUUGACCCGUGUGGCCAUCCCGAACUGGGAUCAGCCAACAGCAUAAUUUUUGCGUUUGGGGUUGCGUUCGCGCUCCCCCGU